This 2818-nucleotide ribosomal RNA is filed under the name Allosediminivita pacifica. RNAcentral's name for it is "bacterial LSU rRNA". It matches the Rfam family "Bacterial large subunit ribosomal RNA". Lineage: Bacteria; Pseudomonadati; Pseudomonadota; Alphaproteobacteria; Rhodobacterales; Paracoccaceae. The record is from RNAcentral.
AUCAAGCGCGAGAAGGGCGUUUGGUGGAUGCCUUGGCAGCAAGAGGCGAUGAAGGACGUGUUACUCUGCGAUAAGUCCUGGGGAGCUGAGAAAAAGCUUUGAUCCAGGAAUCUCCGAAUGGGGCAACCCACCUGACAGACUGUUAUAAUUGCCGCAAGGCAGCUUAUAAUGGGCUGAAACAGGUACUUAAGGACUGAAUACAUAGGUCUUUAAGAGCAAACCCGGGGAACUGAAACAUCUAAGUACCCGGAGGAAAGGAAAUCAAUUGAUACUCCCCUAGUAGUGGCGAGCGAACGGGGACCAGCCGAGCCUUGAGAGUGAAUGGAAUGGUCUGGAAAGGCCAACCACAGCGGGUGACAGUCCCGUACAUGAAGCUCGAUGGGACGUAUUAAGUAGGGCGGGACACGUGUAAUCCUGUCUGAAGAUCGGGGGACCACCCUCGAAGGCUAAGUACUCCUUGCUGACCGAUAGCGAACCAGUACCGUGAGGGAAAGGUGAAAAGCACCCCGACGAGGGGAGUGAAACAGUACCUGAAACCGAGCGCCUACAAUCAGUCGGAGCUUCCUUGCGAAGUGACGGCGUACCUUUUGUAUAAUGGGUCAUCGACUUGGUCUAUCCAGCAAGCUUAAGCCGUUAGGUGUAGGCGCAGCGAAAGCGAGUCUUAAUAGGGCGUCGAGUUGGAUGGAUCAGACCCGAAACCGAGUGAUCUAGGCAUGACCAGGAUGAAGGUACGGUAACACGUACUGGAGGUCCGAACCCACACCUGUUGAAAAAGGUCGGGAUGAGUUGUGCCUAGGGGUGAAAGGCCAAUCAAACUCGGAGAUAGCUGGUUCUCCGCGAAAUCUAUUUAGGUAGAGCGUCAUCCGAAUACCCCGGGGGGUAGAGCACUGGAUGGGUAAUGGGGCCCCACAGGCUUACUGAUCCUAACCAAACUCCGAAUACCCGGGAGUACUAGAUGGCAGACACACCGUGGAUGCUAACGUCCAUGGUGGAGAGGGAAACAACCCUGACCUCCAGCUAAGGCCCCCAAUUCAUGGCUAAGUGGGAAAGCAGGUGGGACGACCAAAACAACCAGGAGGUUGGCUUAGAAGCAGCCAUCCUUUAAAGAUAGCGUAACAGCUCACUGGUCUAAACAAGUUGUCCUGCGGCGAAGAUGUAACGGGGCUCAAGCCAUGAGCCGAAGCUGAGGAUGCCGUAAGGCAUGGUAGCGGAGCGUAGUGUGAUACAGCUUCAUGCCUCCUUCACUCCCUUCGGGAGUAUUGGAGGCGAGAAGCUUUCUGUGAAGCCGGGGCGUGAGCCAUCCGGUGGAGAGAUCACUAGCGAGAAUGAUGACAUGAGUAGCGACAAACAGGGUGAGAGACCCUGUCGCCGAAAGUCCAAGGGUUCCUGCUUAAAGCUAAUCUGAGCAGGGUAAGCCGGCCCCUAAGGCGAGGCCGAAAGGCGUAGUCGAUGGGAACCAGUUUAAUAUUACUGGGCCAGGAGGAUGUGACGGAUUGUGGCGGCGUGCGUGCCUUAUCGGAUUGGCGCGUAUCCAAGACAGUCCCUGGAAAUAGCCCUCCAUCAGACCGUACCCCAAACCGACACAGGUGGACUGGUAGAGAAUACCAAGGCGCUUGAGAGAACGAUGUUGAAGGAACUCGGCAAAAUACCUCCGUAAGUUCGCGAGAAGGAGGCCCGGGCCGCGUGGUCCGGGGGCACAAACCAGGGGGUGGCGACUGUUUACUAAAAACACAGGGCUCUGCGAAGUCGCAAGACGACGUAUAGGGUCUGACGCCUGCCCGGUGCCUGAAGGUUAAAAGGAGGGGUGAGAGCUCCGAAUUGAAGCCCAGGUAAACGGCGGCCGUAACUAUAACGGUCCUAAGGUAGCGAAAUUCCUUGUCGGGUAAGUUCCGACCUGCACGAAUGGCGUAACGACUUCCCCGCUGUCUCCAACAUCGACUCAGCGAAAUUGAAUUGCCGGUCAAGAUGCCGGCUACCCGCGGUUAGACGGAAAGACCCCGUGCACCUUCACUACAGCUUCGCACUGGCAUCAGGCACAACAUGUGCAGGAUAGGUGGUAGGCUUCGAAGCAGGGACGCCAGUUCCUGUGGAGCCAUCCUUGAGAUACCACCCUUGUUCUGCUUGAUGUCUAACCGCGGUCCGUUAUCCGGAUCCGGGACCCUGCGUGGCGGGUAGUUUGACUGGGGCGGUCGCCUCCUAAAUCGUAACGGAGGCGCGCGAAGGUUGGCUCAGAGCGGUCGGAAAUCGCUCGUUGAGUGCAAUGGCAGAAGCCAGCCUGACUGCGAGACUGACAAGUCGAGCAGAGACGAAAGUCGGCCAUAGUGAUCCGGUGGUCCCAAGUGGGAGGGCCAUCGCUCAACGGAUAAAAGGUACGCCGGGGAUAACAGGCUGAUACUGCCCAAGAGUCCAUAUCGACGGCAGUGUUUGGCACCUCGAUGUCGGCUCAUCUCAUCCUGGGGCUGGAGCAGGUCCCAAGGGUAUGGCUGUUCGCCAUUUAAAGAGGUACGUGAGCUGGGUUUAGAACGUCGUGAGACAGUUCGGUCCCUAUCUGCCGUGGGUGUAGGAUACUUGAGAGGAGUUGCCCCUAGUACGAGAGGACCGGGGUGAACGAUCCACUGGUGGACCUGUUGUGGCGCCAGCCGCAGUGCAGGGUAGCUAUGAUCGGACGGGAUAACCGCUGAAGGCAUCUAAGCGGGAAGCCCCCCUCAAAACAAGGUAUCCCUGAGGGCCGUGGUAGACCACCACGUCGAUAGGCCGGAGGUGUAAGCGUGGCAACACGUUCAGCUGACCGGUACUAAUGGCCCGACAGGCUUGAUCC